GAACGACUCUCGGCAACGGAUAUCUCGGCUCUCGCAUCGAUGAAGAACGUAGCGAAAUGCGAUACUUGGUGUGAAUUGCAGAAUCCCGUGAACCAUCGAGUUUUUGAACGCAAGUUGCGCCCGAAGCCUUCGGGCCAAGGGCACGUCUGCCUGGGCGUCACGCA
Molecule: ribosomal RNA, 164 nt
Filed under: Persicaria nepalensis
Lineage: Eukaryota; Viridiplantae; Streptophyta; Magnoliopsida; Caryophyllales; Polygonaceae
Description: 5.8S ribosomal RNA
Rfam family: 5.8S ribosomal RNA
About the family: 5.8S ribosomal RNA (5.8S rRNA) is a component of the large subunit of the eukaryotic ribosome. It is transcribed by RNA polymerase I as part of the 45S precursor that also contains 18S and 28S rRNA.
Source: RNAcentral